Small nucleolar RNA from Grammomys surdaster, 140 nucleotides. RefSeq annotates it as small nucleolar RNA SNORA4. The transcript has a single exon. The record is from RefSeq and is a predicted model, not a curated record. Lineage: Eukaryota; Metazoa; Chordata; Mammalia; Rodentia; Muridae.
GUACCAAAGCUAGAUUUAUGGGGAAGGUUUUAUUAAGUAACCUUAACCAAUUCAGGCUAAUUGGCAGAAUGAAUUAAGACCACACUCCACAGUGGACUGUACCACUUAGUAUGGUUCAUUACUAUAUUGUGGCCUACAUU